RNAcentral lists this long non-coding RNA (221 nucleotides) under Hordeum vulgare. RNAcentral's name for it is "long non-coding RNA (HVUL_LNC019233)". Lineage: Eukaryota; Viridiplantae; Streptophyta; Magnoliopsida; Poales; Poaceae. The record is from RNAcentral.
UGCAAAUCCCAAAUUAAUCCCAACACCUUCCCGGCUUGGCCUUGCUUCGCUUCCGCAUGCCUCCUCCUCGUCGCCAGCCUCCCAAACCCUAGCCCGCGCCGCCCUUUCCCAGAAACCCUAGAUCUCCCUAUGUCCUCCGCCGCUGCUGCACGCCCCAGUCGGUGGGUCAGGUCGUGGAGCGGUUCCGCGCGCGGCUGCGCGAGGAGGCGGGAGAGGAGCCG